UUGACCUCAAAUCAGGUAGGACUACCCGCUGAACUUAAGCAUAUCAAUAAGCGGAGGAAAAGAAACUAACAAGGAUUCCCCUAGUAACUGCGAGUGAAGCGGGAAAAGCUCAAAUUUAAAAUCUGGCAGUCUUUGAUUGUCCGAGUUGUAAUCUAGAGAAGUGCUUUCCGCGYUGGACCGUGUACAAGUCU
This 191-nucleotide ribosomal RNA is filed under the name Hygrophorus eburneus. RNAcentral's name for it is "partial 28S ribosomal RNA". It matches the Rfam family "Eukaryotic large subunit ribosomal RNA", at positions 1 to 188 of the family's 3401-position model. The record is from RNAcentral. Lineage: Eukaryota; Fungi; Basidiomycota; Agaricomycetes; Agaricales; Hygrophoraceae.